GUUGUUUGCGUUGUUUGCGUUGUUCUUCUUGACAUGUCAACCAAUUUUCUGCCGUAUGUUUCCGUCUCUCUGGAGGUUGUUUGCGUUGUUUGCGUUGUUCUUCUUGACAUGUCAACCAAUUUUCUGCCGUAUGUUUCCGUCUCUCUGGAGGUUGUUUGCGUUGUUUGCGUUGUUUGCGUUGUUCUUCUUGACAUGUCAACCAAUUUUCUGCCGUAUGUUUCCGUCUCUCUGGAGGUU
RNAcentral lists this long non-coding RNA (237 nucleotides) under Gallus gallus (chicken). The record is from RNAcentral. Lineage: Eukaryota; Metazoa; Chordata; Aves; Galliformes; Phasianidae.